Long non-coding RNA from Brachypodium distachyon (stiff brome), 526 nucleotides. RefSeq lists it as uncharacterized. The record is from RefSeq and is a predicted model, not a curated record. Lineage: Eukaryota; Viridiplantae; Streptophyta; Magnoliopsida; Poales; Poaceae. The transcript has 2 exons.
AGAUACGUAUGUGUCAUCCACAUCUCGAAGAUAUCAAAACAUUAAAGAAAUACCUCAUCGUCGACUAGCUUUUCCUAUAAAUAUAAGCAACGGAGCAACCAUACCACGCAUCACCUCCUAGGCAAGACGGCAACGAUGGCGAAGCACCUGAAGAACAACGUCCAUGGACUGCUGCUACUCUCUUUCGCUCUACUCCUGUGUUCUGCAAGCCUGGGACGUACAUACGGAACAAGAAUCACAAGCGACAUGAGGAGUAAUUUGGUGAUCGGUGCAGACAGUACAGUUAGCGACAACGGUGACCCGCCGUAUUGCCAGGAGAAGCCGGACAAAGGGGACGCGAGAUUCUGCUGUUUGUUGGAUGGCCUUUGCUGGAAUAGUACCGACGAAUGCAACCGGAAAUGUCCGUGUUUGCCAACGCAUUGUUUGUAGCUUUCGUGUUGGAUGGAAGUCCGUCUUUCCGUGCGGAUGAAUUAUAAAUCUCAACUGUUGUAAGUCCGGAAAUAAAUAACGAAGUGCUGGUCAGCUA